This is a long non-coding RNA of Neofelis nebulosa (Clouded leopard), 1910 nucleotides long. RefSeq lists it as uncharacterized. The transcript has 2 exons. NCBI's taxonomy places the organism in Eukaryota, Metazoa, Chordata, Mammalia, Carnivora, Felidae. The record is from RefSeq and is a predicted model, not a curated record.
UUCCUGAAAACCGGAGGCACGGGUGAGGCCCCCACUUCUAGCCGAACCUCCUUUUGGCUAGGAUCCACCCAUACGACAAAAACUAGCAGAGUCCAGUCCCCCAACUCGAGAGACUCAUUCUGAACAUGGCCUGCCUCAUCAGCCCACCCUACGCCCGUAACUUAGCAUACCCAGAUACGGAACCCUUCAGCGUUUCAACUUGGCCGAGACACCGGAAGGCAACUUCCCAGAACGACCCAUGUCUUCUAAACCCGGACCGGGAUUAAAGCACCGGCUACCGGGACCCUGGAAACACGCGCAGGACCCACGUGGACCCGUAGACGGCUUCACUUCCUCUUUCUCUGACGUAACUUCCGGAGUUGCGUCUGUUACUAUGGCAAGACAGUCAACAUCCGGUUUUACAGUGCCUCCAGGCUCAGAAUCCCUGAGCUGCUCGGAGAAGGUUGGUAGCUAGGGAGUCCCUGGGGCUUCUACUCCAGGGCCACGGUUCUCGGCCACCGGAGUGGGCCUUAUAAAACUAGAAUUCUUUUGCAGGUUAAAAAACAAACGUAUAUUUAUAUAAUUUUUUUGUAAUAUCUAAUUUCGAAAGUAACGCGCGGAAACAAAUUUCUUUGAAAGAGUCAAAACCUGGCCAAACCAGAAUAAGUGAAAUCUUUUGUCCCCAAACGAGAAAAAAAGCAGCCGGUGAUGCUCUAAACCCAGUUAGUUAUUUUCGUUUAGUACUGGGGAUACAUAGUUGCUAAAACCACCUUCCCUCAUGGCAGCACUCAGCCCCCUCUCGUUAUUCUUUUCUAAUCCAAUGUCAGAACCAGCAACCAAUCCUGCAUUGAUUUCCACUCCCCUGCGACCCUCUCCAAAAUCUUUUAGCUGGAACUCAAACCUUAAAAAGAUACUUUCCUCCCUUGUCUUGGGGUGCAGCAUUUCAAGAUUCCUCCGGAAUUCCCUCCCCCACUUCAAAUCAACAAACCUGAUUUUGUGAAACUAUGACUGGAUCCCGGUGAGUUUAUUUUGUUGUUGUUUUUAAGUAGUCUCACACCCAACGUGGGGCUUAAACUCACUACUCAGGACCCUGAGAUUAAGGGUCGCACACUCUACCAACUGAGCCAGGCUGGUGCCUCCCAGGUGAGUUUUUUUUGCUGAUUAGGCUUUAUGCAUUCAUUUUACAAACAUUUUUUAGCUCCCACUGAAAAAGACACUUCAGUAAGUCAAUCUUCCGAAUGAAGCACAAGUUGACAAAAUUUUUGUAUACAGCUUCUUUUGCCUGGUACAGUGUGAAUUUUUCCCCUGGUUUUGGUCUAAAUGUUUGGAUCCCUGCAAACUCCAUCUGUUGAAAUCCUAUCUCCCAAAGGCAAUGGUGUUAGGGGAAAUAACACCCCAAAGGUUGGACUUUGGGAAAUAUUUAAGUCAUGAUAGUGAAGCCCUCUUAAAUGGAAUUUGGUGUCUUAUUUUUUUUUAAUUUAUUUUGAGAGAGAGUGUGUAUACACACAAGUGAGAGAGAGGCAGAGAAAGAGACAGAGAGAAUCCCAAGGAGGCCCCAUGCUUAGCACAGGGCAGGAGACCCAGGCACCCCUAGAAUUGGUGUCUUACAAAAAGAUUCAAGAGUGAUCCCUAGUCCUUCCAUCAUGUAAAGACACAGCAAGAAGGAGCUGGCUAUGAACCAAGAAAUGCACCCUCACCCAACCAUGCUGGCACUCUGACCUUGGACUUCCAGCCUCCAGAACUGUGAGAAAUAAAUUUCUGUUGCUUAUAAGCUAUCAACCCUAUGCUAUUUUGGUAUAGGAGCCUGAACAGACUAAAGACAUCCUUUGUUCUUAAAUAUCCUUUUGCAAAAUGGUUCUCACAGCUGAUUGCAGCUGAUCUGUAGCUUGUGAGAAACAUAGAUCCACCAUAUAAAUUCCAUGAAGACAAAA